UUAAAAAGCUCGUAGUUGAAUUUCGGAAUUUGUCGGUUGGUUGGGCUUCACUGUCCGCACUGGCCUGAUGGAUUCCUACCUUCUGAAUAACCAGCAUGCUAUUAAUUUAGUGCGUUGGGGAAGCAGAGCUAUUACCUUGAAAAAAUUAGAGUGCUUAAAGCAGGCUCACGCUUGAAUAGAUUAGCAUGGAAUAAUAAAAUAGGACGGCUUGGUUCUAUUUUGUUGGUUUCUAGGAUCACCGUAAUGAUUAAUAGGGAUAGUUGGGGG
RNAcentral lists this ribosomal RNA (267 nucleotides) under uncultured Glomeromycotina. Its description in RNAcentral is "partial 18S ribosomal RNA". It matches the Rfam family "Eukaryotic small subunit ribosomal RNA", at positions 619 to 888 of the family's 1831-position model. Lineage: Eukaryota; Fungi; Glomeromycota. The record is from RNAcentral.